RNAcentral lists this transfer RNA (73 nucleotides) under Diaphorina citri (Asian citrus psyllid). It matches the Rfam family "tRNA". Rfam says of the family: Transfer RNA (tRNA) molecules are approximately 80 nucleotides in length. Lineage: Eukaryota; Metazoa; Arthropoda; Insecta; Hemiptera; Psyllidae. The record is from Rfam by way of RNAcentral.
GCCUAGUUAGCUUAGUUAGUACUGCGUCUGCCUUGUAAGCGCUAGGCCGCGGGUUCGAUUCCCGCCCGGGGCG